Molecule: unclassified non-coding RNA, 301 nt
Filed under: Hevea brasiliensis (rubber tree)
Lineage: Eukaryota; Viridiplantae; Streptophyta; Magnoliopsida; Malpighiales; Euphorbiaceae
Source: RNAcentral
AGACACGGUGUCAGCAUUAGCCUUAUCGAAAGAUGGCUCUCUGCUUUACUCUGCUUCAUGGGAUAGAACUUUCAAAAUCUGGAGAAUUUCGGAUUUCAAAUGCCUUGAAUCAGUCUGGAAUGCUCAUGACGAUGCCAUUAACGCCAUUGCUCUGUCGAAAAAUGGGUAUGUUUACACCGGUUCAGCAGACAUGAAGAUCAAAAUAUGGAAGAAAGAACGAGGGGAGAAGAGCGUACACACCCUUAUAUCAACACUAGAAAAACACAAAUCAUCCGUAAAUGCUUUAGCUCUUAGUACAGAU